UGCAGUCGAACGCGAAAGUCCCCUUCGGGGGACAAGUAGAGUGGCGCACGGGUGAGUAACACGUAGGUAAUCUACCUUUGGAUUGGGAAUAACCACCGGAAACGGUGGCUAAUACCGAAUAAUGCAGCGGCACCUAAUGGUGACAGUUGUUAAAGCGGGGGAUCGCAAGACCUCGCGUCUGAAGAGGAGCCUGCGGCAGAUUAGCUAGUUGGUAAGGUAACGGCUUACCAAGGCGAUGAUCUGUAGCCGGCCUGAGAGGGCGGUCGGCCACACUGACACUGACAUACGGGUCAGACUCCUACGGGAGGCAGCAGUCGGGAAUUUUGGGCAAUGGGCGAAAGCCUGACCCAGCAACGCCGCGUGAAGGAUGAAAUCCCUCGGGAUGUAAACUUCGCAAGAACGGGAAGAAUAAGUAAGGGUUAAUAUCUCUUACGAUGACGGUACUGUUUGUAAGCUCCGGCUAACUCCGUGCCAGCAGCCGCGGUAAUACGGGGGGAGCAAGCGUUGUUCGGAUUUACUGGGCGUAAAGGGCGCGUAGGCGGCCACCGCGAGUCGACUGUGAAAUCUCUGGGCUUAACCCAGAAAGGUCAGCCGAUACUGCGGGGCUAGAGUGCAAAAGGGGCAACUGGAAUUCUCGGUGUAGCGGUGAAAUGCGUAGAUUUCGAGAGGAACACCUGCGGCGAAAGCGGGUUGCUGGGCUGACACUGACGCUUAAGCGCGAAAGCUAGGGGAGCGAACGGGAUUAGAUACCCCGGUAGUCCUAGCCUUAAACGAUGAA
RNAcentral lists this ribosomal RNA (778 nucleotides) under uncultured Actinomycetes bacterium. RNAcentral's name for it is "bacterial SSU rRNA". It matches the Rfam family "Bacterial small subunit ribosomal RNA", at positions 56 to 813 of the family's 1533-position model. The record is from RNAcentral. Lineage: Bacteria; Bacillati; Actinomycetota; Actinomycetes.